Long non-coding RNA from Sarcophilus harrisii (Tasmanian devil), 702 nucleotides. RefSeq lists it as uncharacterized. The transcript has 3 exons. The record is from RefSeq and is a predicted model, not a curated record. NCBI's taxonomy places the organism in Eukaryota, Metazoa, Chordata, Mammalia, Dasyuromorphia, Dasyuridae.
UUAUUAUAUAUUUUUUUCCUUAGGUGCCUCCAAAACUACAUUUCUUAAGCACAUAGCAAUCCCAGAGCAGUGGGGAGUCGGCAUGGAAACCAACUGGAUGGCAGAGGAGGUUAUAGUUUUUCCAUCUAUUAAAUGAAAGGGUGAGACUACAGCUUUCUACCUACGAUUGCUUCAGCAGGGGAUUUGGAAAAGCAAAGAAUGUGAAGAAAACACAAUCACAAAAAGCAGGGAGGAUCCUUGAGAGGAUCUGCCCAUCCAUUUUCUACAGAGAAAUAUGGACACGAAGAAUCUACGCAACUAUGGUGAUAAAUUUCCCUCAAGCCAAUAACGUCUGUAACAACCCAUACAGAAAAACAAACUCUCCUCUGCUUCCAUUCGCUGUUAACCACAGAGACAUGGGGAGCACAGUGUCCUGCAGAGGCUUCAGAGCUAAAAAAGGAGCUCCGGGAUCAUCUUCCCUAGCACCCUCUGUUUUGGAGAUGAGAAAACUGAGGCCUUGAGGAGGAAAGCAAGCAACUUACCUAAGAUAAUGAAUGAUCACAGCCAGCCCAGAACCCGGACAUAAAGUCAGUGCUAUUUCCUCCACAUCAUGUUGCCUCCCAUAGUAGGAACUUAAAAUGCUAUUGAAUUGAAAUGUAUUUCUGGCAUCUAUUCCAUUCCCUUGGCACAGAAGGGUUGGAGGAAAAAAAUUCACCAAUAAGA